This 159-nucleotide small nuclear RNA is filed under the name Vulpes vulpes (red fox). Its description in RNAcentral is "U1 spliceosomal RNA (ENSVVUG00000024199.1)". The stretch from base 1 to 133 matches the Rfam family "U1 spliceosomal RNA". From Rfam's summary of the family: U1 is a small nuclear RNA (snRNA) component of the spliceosome (involved in pre-mRNA splicing). Its 5' end forms complementary base pairs with the 5' splice junction, thus defining the 5' donor site of an intron. There are significant differences in sequence and secondary structure between metazoan and yeast U1 snRNAs, the latter being much longer (568 nucleotides as compared to 164 nucleotides in human). Lineage: Eukaryota; Metazoa; Chordata; Mammalia; Carnivora; Canidae. The record is from Rfam by way of RNAcentral.
AUACUUACCUGGCAGGGGAGAUACCAUGAUCACGAAGGUGGUUUUCCCAGGGCGAGGCUUAUCCAUUGCACUCCGGAUGUGCNCUUUUAUAUAUAUUAUUUAUAUUUAAAUAGGUACUUAAAGUAUACUUGAAACAUACUUUAAACUUAAAAGAUGUUA